GAUGAACGCUGGCGGCGUGCCUAAUACAUGCAAGUCGAGCGAACGGACGAGAAGCUUGCUUCUCUGCUGUUAGCGGCGGACGGGUGAGUAACACGUGGAUAACCUACCUAUAAGACUGGGAUAACUUCGGGAAACCGUAGCUAAUACCGGAUAAUAUUUUGAACCGCUUGGUUCAAAAGUGAAAGACGGUCUUGCUGUCACUUAUAGAUGGAUCCGCGCUGCAUUAGCUAGUUGGUAAGGUAACGGCUUACCAAGGCAACGAUGCAUAGCCGACCUGAGAGGGUGAUCGGCCACACUGGAACUGAGACACGGUCCAGACUCCUACGGGAGGCAGCAGUAGGGAAUCUUCCGCAAUGGGCGAAAGCCUGACGGAGCAACGCCGCGUGAGUGAUGAAGGUCUUCGGAUCGUAAAACUCUGUUAUUAGGGAAGAACAUAUGUGUAAGUAACUGUGCACAUCUUGACGGUACCUAAUGAGAAAGCCACGGCUAACUACGUG
This 497-nucleotide ribosomal RNA is filed under the name uncultured bacterium. RNAcentral describes it as "partial 16S ribosomal RNA". It matches the Rfam family "Bacterial small subunit ribosomal RNA", at positions 28 to 507 of the family's 1533-position model. The record is from RNAcentral.